AUUGAACGCUGGCGGCAUGCCUUACACAUGCAAGUCGAACGGCAGCACGGGAGCAAUCCUGGUGGCGAGUGGCGAACGGGUGAGUAAUGUAUCGGAACGUACCUUUCAGUGGGGGAUAACGUAGCGAAGUUACGCUAAUACCGCAUAUUCUGUGAGCAGGAAAGCAGGGGAGUCGCAAGACCUUGCGCUGAUUGAGCGGCCGAUAUCAGAUUAGCUAGUUGGUGAGGUAAAGGACUCACCAAGGCGACGAUCUGUAGCGGGUCGUGAGAGGAUGAUCCGCCACACUGGAACUGAGACACGGUCCAGACUCCUACGGGAGGGCAGCAGUGGGGAAGUUUUGGUACAAUGGGCGGCAAGCCUGAUCCAGCCAUGCCGCGUGAGUGAAGAAGG
RNAcentral lists this ribosomal RNA (390 nucleotides) under uncultured bacterium. Its description in RNAcentral is "bacterial SSU rRNA". It matches the Rfam family "Bacterial small subunit ribosomal RNA", at positions 30 to 414 of the family's 1533-position model. The record is from RNAcentral.